AGUUCAUUCUAACCCAGCAGACACUGAGCAUGUGCUUGCAAGUUAAAGUCAUCAUAUUAUCUGUUAUCAGGCAUUUGUUGCCACAGCAAUACUGCAUAAUGAAUCACUCCAAAAUUUAGUGGCUGAAAACCACUACCAAUUAUUUAUCUGCUGUAAAUUAAAUUUUGACAACUCAUUGUUUUUAAAUUUUUGUUUACUUACUUUACUUGAAAGAAGUGAGAAAGAGCUCCCAUCUGCUGACUUACUCCUCCGAUGCAGUUACAGCUAGUGUUAGAGCUGAAUCCGGGAGCCAGGGACCCAAGCACUGGAGCCAUCACCUGCAGCCUCCCAAGAUGUAUGCUAGUAGGAAGCUGGUACUCUGAGAUGAGAAGUGGGCAUUGCAAGCUGCAUCUUAACCGAGUGUUCACCCCCCAAGCCUUUGUUGUGGCUCUGGAGGUUACAGGUGAACAGUUGUACUGCUCGGGAUCAGAUCCAUCAGAUGUCUGCUAGACUACUUGUAAGGUAAAAGGAGAAAGGCAUAAGAAAUGGCCUUUUUUCCCCUUAAAAGAGAAGUAUCUGGAGGAGUAUCUGGCAAACAAACAAAACUCUUUAAGGAAAAAUUAUGCCAGACUUCUGUGUCGUGCACCAAAAGCAUUCGGUGAAAAAACUCUGGAGGUUAAAGGGUGGGGGAGGUUAAAGGGUGGGGGAGUGAUAGAAAAGAAAGAGUGGGAAGCACAGAGGAGGAGGAAGGCACAAGAGUACCGUGAUCACUGGCCAAGAGUAACAAUGGAAAACCACUCCUAAAACCAAGAAAAAUGCCUGCGUUGGCAGCGAGGGGCUCUGGGUUCCAAGCGUGACUCUUCACGUGACAAGCUUCCAGACUCACACUGGCAGGUGGUGUGUCCAGGUCUCCCUCUGCUCACGGGCAUCCUAGGAGUAUAGAGAUCCUCUCCAACCCUAGCAUUCUCUCAAUGGCAUAUGGCUUGCCUUUCAGCUUCCGGUGCUGAGUGAGGAACAACUUCAAAGAAAAACCUAGUGCUGCAUCUGCAGAGAGAAAUGGAAAAGAGCACCAGAAAACCUAGAGGCAAGGAAUGAGAAUGAAAGUGUAAUGCAAUUUCACGUGAAUGGGAAAUUGUUAUUAGUAAUCUUGAUAAGUUAUCCAGCCACUGUCAGUCUUCUUUGGAACAAGGUGAAAUUCAGGACUGUUUAAUUCAAAUUUCUUUGAUUUAUUCCAUGGGAUCCUGAAGAGAAUCCUCUGAAAUGCCCAAAAGCCAACAGCCUUCUUACCAACUAGCUUUUCCAGCUAUGCAUUAGGACACAGAGAACCCUAAGGUCUGUAAAGUUCGGAAUUAAUGUUUUGGUCAGAUUAUACUGGGUGUAGAAUCCGGGUAAGUCACAUAAGCUUUCUGGACUGGUACUUCAUCUGUGAAAUGGAAAUGAUGAAACCCAAGCUUAUUUGAAGGUCAAGAAUUGACAAGUUGCUCUCUUUGUCCUUUUUCCCUCUCUUUUAGAAUUUUUUGAAUCUAAGAUAUUCGGGGGAAUUAUUGAUCUUUCAUUCCCCUUUUAUAAUAAGGCAAACACAGUUAAUGGUCCCUGAAGACAUUUUGCCCAGCAAGUUUGUUUUUCUCCUUUACUUGUUGUCUUUUGAGUUACAACUUCAGACAUUUCUUUGGCCGUUGCAUCAGAUAGUUUUUUUCCAUUACUAACUGUUAAAAAAAUCAUUAAAUUUCCUUUGAUCUUGAGCCUAGCGUUUGCAAUCAUGGUUGUUAUCAUCUAACUACAUGCCUCAUUUUCAUACCAACUAGCUGACUCUUGGAUUCCUGAACACAUCUUGGUUUGUAUCUACCCUCCUGAAACUGUAGUUCUGUGGCUCUGUAUCAAAUAAUUCAUCUACCUGAUUCUGACAAUAACUACCAGUUUCAAA
Molecule: long non-coding RNA, 1903 nt
Organism: Ochotona curzoniae (black-lipped pika)
Lineage: Eukaryota; Metazoa; Chordata; Mammalia; Lagomorpha; Ochotonidae
Exons: 2
Source: RefSeq, a predicted model, not a curated record